Molecule: transfer RNA, 68 nt
Filed under: Ctenophorus butlerorum
Lineage: Eukaryota; Metazoa; Chordata; Lepidosauria; Squamata; Agamidae
Description: Ctenophorus butleri tRNA-Ala
Source: RNAcentral
UGAGUGCCUAGUUUAAUUAAAAUGUCUGAUUUGCAUUCAGGAGAUGUAGAAAGGUUCUAUAGGUUUUA